Algibacter lectus is the source of this 40-nucleotide regulatory RNA element. It matches the Rfam family "DUF805b RNA". From Rfam's summary of the family: Bacteroidetes, Chlorobi (1 example), Proteobacteria. Lineage: Bacteria; Pseudomonadati; Bacteroidota; Flavobacteriia; Flavobacteriales; Flavobacteriaceae. The record is from Rfam.
AAAGCGUAAACCGAAAAGCUUAUUAAUAAUAGAGUAGGUA